Molecule: ribosomal RNA, 503 nt
Filed under: uncultured bacterium
Lineage: Bacteria
Description: bacterial SSU rRNA
Rfam family: Bacterial small subunit ribosomal RNA
Source: RNAcentral
GAUCAUGGCGUCAGGAUGAACGCUGGCGGCGUGCUAACACAUGCAAGUCGAACGAGGGCUGCUGGUUGAAGUUUCGGAUGGAAACCGGUAAUUCCUAGUGGCGGACGGGUGAGUAACGCGUGGGGAACCUGCCCCGCUCCGGGGGAUACCAGCUGGAAACGGCUGUUAAUACCGCAUAAGCGCACAGUAUCGCACGAUGCAGUGUGAAAAACUCCGGUGGAACGGGAUGGCCCCGCGUCUGAUUAGCCAGUUGGCAGGGUAACGGCCUACCAAAGCGACGAUCAGUAGCCGGCCUGAGAGGGCGACCGGCCACAUUGGGACUGAGACACGGCCCAAACUCCUACGGGAGGCAGCAGUGGGGAAUAUUGCACAAUGGGGGAAACCCUGAUGCAGCCGACGCCGCGUGAGUGAGGAAGUAUUUCGGUAUGUAAAGCUCUAUCAGCAGGGAAGAAGAUGACGGUACCUGCACAAGAAGCCCCGGCUAACUACGUGCCAGCAGCCGC